GGCCAUGUAUAUUUUACUAUAAUAAAAAAAAAAAUUUUAAACCAGUAUAAACAUCCUACUCAGGGAAGAGCAUAUUCUUGUUUACUGGCAAAGCUGUCACCAUUUCAUUGGAAUCAGAUUCUAACCUGCACAAGUAACAUUC
Molecule: small nucleolar RNA, 142 nt
Organism: Nycticebus coucang (slow loris)
Lineage: Eukaryota; Metazoa; Chordata; Mammalia; Primates; Lorisidae
Product: small nucleolar RNA SNORA24
Exons: 1
Source: RefSeq, a predicted model, not a curated record